UAUUUUGAUGGGGAUUGCAUUGAAUCUGUAGAUCACUUUUGGUAAAAUGGCCAUUUUUACUAUAUUAAUCCUGCCAAUCCAUGAGCAUGGGAGAUCUUUCCAUCUUCUGAGAUCCUCUUCAAUUUCUUUCUUCAGAGGCUUGAAGUUCUUAUCAUACAGAUCUUUUAUUUGCUUGGUUAAAGUCACACUGAGGUAUUUUAUAUUAUUUGGGACUAUUAUGAAGGGUGUCAUUUCCCUAAUUUCUUUCUUGGCUUGUUUCUCUUUUGUGUAGAGGAAGGCAACUGAUUUAUUUGAGUUAAUUUUAUACCCAGACACUUUGCUGAAGUUGUUUAUCAGCUUUAGUAGUUCUCUGGUGGAACUUUUGGGAUCACUUAAAUAUACUAUCAUAUCAUCUGCAAAUAGUGAUAUUUUGACUUCUUCUUUUCCAAUCUGUAUCCCCUUGAUCUCCUUUUGUUGUCUGAUUGCUCUGGCUAGAACUUCAAGAACUAUAUUGAAUAAGUAGGGAGAAAGUGGGCAGCCUUGUCUAGUCCCUGAUUUUAGUGGAAUUGCUUCAAGUUUCUCUCCAUUUAGUUUAAUGUUAGCUACUGGUUUGCUGUAUAUGGCUUUUACUAUGUUUAGAUAUGGGCCUUGAAUUCCUAUUCUGUCCAGGACUUUUAUCAUGAAGGGGUGUUGAAUUUUGUCAAAUGCUUUC
This 691-nucleotide long non-coding RNA is filed under the name Rattus norvegicus (Norway rat). RNAcentral describes it as "long non-coding RNA NONRATT030366". Lineage: Eukaryota; Metazoa; Chordata; Mammalia; Rodentia; Muridae. The record is from RNAcentral.